Molecule: ribosomal RNA, 398 nt
Filed under: uncultured bacterium
Lineage: Bacteria
Description: bacterial SSU rRNA
Rfam family: Bacterial small subunit ribosomal RNA
Source: RNAcentral
CAGCCCUUGACAUGGCAGGACGAUUUCCGGAGACGGAUCUCUUCACUUCGGUGACCUGCACACAGGUGCUGCAUGGCUGUCGUCAGCUCGUGUCGUGAGAUGUUGGGUUAAGUCCCGCAACGAGCGCAACCCUCGCCCUUAGUUGCCAUCAUUCAGUUGGGCACUCCAAGGGGACUGCCGGUGAUGAGCCGGAGGAAGGUGGGGAUGACGUCAAGUCUUCAUGGCCCUUACGGGCUGGGCUACACACGUGCUACAAUGGCGGUGACAGAGGGCUGCUAGAUCGCGAGAUCAUGCUAAUCCCUAAAAGCCGUCUCAGUUCGGAUUGCACUCUGCAACUCGGGUGCAUGAAGUCGGAAUCGCUAGUAAUCGCAGAUCAGCACGCUGCGGUGAAUACGUUC